UACAGAGGGUGCAAGCGUUAUUCGGAAUUACUGGGCGUAAAGGGUGCGUAGGUGGCUACGUAAGUUGGAUGUGAAAUACUCGGGCUUAACCUGGGGGCUGCAUUCAAAACUGCGUGGCUAGAGUACGGUAGAGGGAAGUGGAAUUUCCGGUGUAGCGGUGAAAUGCGUAGAUAUCGGAAGGAACAUCAGUGGCGAAGGCGGCUGCCUGGACCUAUACUGACACUGAGGCGCGAAAGCGUGGGGAGCAAACAGG
This 253-nucleotide ribosomal RNA is filed under the name uncultured bacterium. Its description in RNAcentral is "partial 16S ribosomal RNA". It matches the Rfam family "Bacterial small subunit ribosomal RNA", at positions 524 to 776 of the family's 1533-position model. The record is from RNAcentral.